CGUGAUCUUUUGGCACCGCUGAGCGACGAAGUGGACGUGGUUGUUGGGCGUGGGCGUGUUGGAAUGCCAGGGCAUCAACUGCGGUAGACCGAAGCAAAGGGAUACAGCUAUAAAAGAAUACCGAGAGGGCUAUAAGCCCACAAUCGGAUCGCGCGACCACUGUCCAUCAAGACACAGGUGACCACUGGACAGACAGCUAUGAGGGAUCAUCUGCGAGACACCUUUGGUACACGCUACGACAUCUCAGGCCCUGUAACGAACAACAUGUCUAAGAAGGGGUGUGUCAGCCGAAUACGCUAAUCCUCGAAUCCUACACUCAAAGAAAAAGAGCAGAAACAAACCACAGAGUUGAAGCCCUCGUUCUACCAGCGUAGUGUGUGAAAUGUCCCAGGAAGUGCCACCUUUGAUUGCUGAGCAUGCUCUGACACUCACACAAAGAGCUGAAGAGGAAGUCCUGCUGUUGCCACCUGUUGCAUCACAGGUGAAGGUGCAUUUCGGCCACGACAUCUACAUCGAACUAUACAAGUGGGUCUUUUCCAGUGAAGCGAAGACGGACUCCUUGUUUUGCCGAGAAAUUUAUCGAUCAUUGUGGGACCCUAGGGAACUCGUCGGAAGGAGUAUCACUGGUGAAGCAACCAGGAGCUUCAAGAAAGAGGGCUGGCCACCCAAGAAGGCUCUGACGUGAAGAAAGCUCUCUGUAGUGCAAACUUAGUAGCCACAUGUCUAAUAUAUAUUGCAUGUGCUUCUUAGGUACUGUGUACAAAUUUAACAGGCACAGCUUUGAAUGUCAGGUUACCUCGAUCUAUCAACAUUAUCUUUAACAGUGUCUGUGCCGUAGUUGAGUUCAGUACCAAAAUCUUGUCUGUCAUGUCCCUGUACAAAGGAUCGAGCUUGGUCCCGUAGUACGACUUAGCCUGUAGACUGUGUCAGCGUAGGUAUUCCGGCCAACACUAUAACAUGUUCAGAUAUUGGCAAAACAGUUAACAGGAUGGGCUCAUAUGAAGUGGUCGAUUUCGGUUGAGGUGUUCUUUGCUGGCACACCGAUAAAGCUGAACAAAUCUGUCGUACACCAUGCUCCAUCACUUUCCAGCGUUUGGUCGGUCUUUGUGGGUCCACUCUUUGCAAUGCACCCAUCUCAUUGGAUCACGGAUAGGGUUUGCCACUCUGACCUUUCUCUGAUGGUCAAGGUUGUCACCAAUUCGGGAGCAAAGCCUGCGCGUAAGCCCAAAUAUGUGCAGUGUGAUGUUUGACCCUUGUCGUCGUUACGGUAGUACUCGCUCUACUGUUACCACGAUGUCUUUUAUCCUUUGAGAAACACAUUUUUUUGUGUGUGUAUCUCUGCACGCCCUGUUGUGCCAUGAAGCCUGCAAAACGCCUGCAUGAAUCCUGAACCGUGUUACUCUUCUUGGCCGUGCGUGGUAGCAGUAUGCUUUCACUUUCUCGUCAUUAUAUCCAGCACUUGCAAUAUUUUCACAGUACAAUGCAUAUUAUUUGAUUUUCAGAUGCCUUCAACUGAUAUGUCGAGAUGACGGCCCCUGCAAGUCUUUCCCGUGAAAGCACGGAGGAGAGAGAGAAGAGGGCCAAAGAAAUGGCCACCAGAAAAGCGGUGUUUAGGGCGCACAUAAGGGUAAUGUUAAAUGACAUG
Molecule: long non-coding RNA, 1645 nt
Organism: Ornithodoros turicata
Lineage: Eukaryota; Metazoa; Arthropoda; Arachnida; Ixodida; Argasidae
Exons: 6
Source: RefSeq, a predicted model, not a curated record